RNAcentral lists this ribosomal RNA (732 nucleotides) under uncultured eukaryote. RNAcentral's name for it is "SSU rRNA". It matches the Rfam family "Eukaryotic small subunit ribosomal RNA", at positions 672 to 1426 of the family's 1831-position model. The record is from RNAcentral.
GGCGUGUACUGCUUGGCUGGGCCUUACUUCUUGGUGAGCCGGCGUGCCCUUUAUUGGUGUGCGUCGGGGAACCAGGACUUUUACCUUGAGAAAAUUAGAGUGUUCAAAGCAGGCCUAUGCCUGAAUACAUUAGCAUGGAAUAAUAGAAUAGGACGUGCGGUUCUAUUUUGUUGGUUUCUAGAGUCGCCGUAAUGAUUAAUAGGGACAGUUGGGGGCAUUGGUAUUGAGUCGCUAGAGGUGAAAUUCUUGGAUUGACUCAAGACCGACUAUUGCGAAAGCAUUUGCCAAGGAUGUUUUCAUUAAUCAAGAACGAAGGUUAGGGGAUCGAAAACGAUCAGAUACCGUUGUAGUCUUAACAGUAAACUAUGCCGACUAGGGAUUGGAUGACCUCAAAAUUGAUGUGUCAUUUGGCACCUUACGAGAAAUCAAAGUCUUUGGGUUCUGGGGGGAGUAUGGUUGCAAGGCUGAAACUUAAAGGAAUUGACAGAAGGGCACCACCAGGUGUGGAGCCUGCGGCUUAAUUUGACUCAACACGGGGAAACUCACCAGGUCCAGACAUAACUAGGAUUGACAGAUUGAUAGCUCUUUCAUGAUUUUAUGGGUGGUGGUGCAUGGCCAUUCUUAGUUGGUAGAGUGAUUUGUCUGGUUAAUUCCGAUAACGAACGAGACCUUAACCUGCUAAAUAGCCAGGCCGGCUUCAGCUGGUCUCUGGCUUCUUAGAGGGACUGUCAG